Mangifera indica (mango) is the source of this 1198-nucleotide long non-coding RNA. RefSeq lists it as uncharacterized. NCBI's taxonomy places the organism in Eukaryota, Viridiplantae, Streptophyta, Magnoliopsida, Sapindales, Anacardiaceae. The record is from RefSeq and is a predicted model, not a curated record. The transcript is spliced from 3 exons.
AUCCACAGGUAAGAGGGGAGGAAAGCGAAAGCAGUUGUUUCUGAAUACUGUUAUUCUUGUUCUUUGGAUUGGAUGAUGCAUCAGUGAAUGAGUGAAAUUUUCAGUGCUUUAAUAAUGUUCCUUUCUUUUUAGAGGUGAUUUGAUGAACUGUUAAGCAAAGUUCUUACUUGUAUAAACACAUUUAAUCAUUUAACUACAAACUAAUGAAAUUGAAAAGUUUUUUGCAAUUUGACUUGUAUUGUUACAUCAAUGUGGCAACAAAUGAAACAUUGCACUCAAGGGAAGAUAUGUUGGGCUACGUGACAUACGAACGUUGGGCCAAUCAACCUGUCCCGGCCCUCCGACCAAUACAGUCGUUAGUUUAUUGUACUCGUUGUAGGAAAAUUGGACACCAGGCACAUCAGAGUGGAUUCUAAUUGUCAUCUGUCAUAAUUUUGAGGACCUGAGAUAAGCAUAAUAGAGGCAAUGCUCCAUCAUGUACUAAAACUACACGGGCAUCAAAAGUCCAUGGCGAUUGUGGGCGUCAUACUCAAAUCAACCACAACGGCUGCACUGCUAUGUAGCCCUCUGUGCCUGUCCAGGCUCUCCUCCCCCAUAAGAAAGUGCAGGUGCAGGAGAAGGUGUUUGUGCAGUUAUUGGAUACAGUGCAUUGAUUGCCUGAAAGUUAGAAUAAUACAAUGUGAGUUGUGGGAAUUCUUGACAGAAACGGGUGGAUGAAUGGAAAAUGAUGCGAACCUUAACAUAUUUUUCAGAGAAUCCACACUAAUGUUUCUGUUGUCCAAUGCUCCUACAACGAGUACAAUGAACUAAUGGUUGUGUUGGUCGGAGGGCUUGUAGUGAUACAUAUGAAGAAUGAUAAAAAAAGACAACCAGCUUUUCAAGAUGUAUAGGAGAGCUGAGGUGAUACAAAUGGAAAAAAAAGUAAUUGUUUAAGGAGUUGAAAACCAGCCGGGGCAGUUCGAUUGGCCCGACGUUCAUAUGCCACAUAGCGCAACAUAUCCUCCCUUGAGUAAAAUAUUUCAUUUGUUGCCGUAUUGAUGUAAUGGCUGUAUUGAUGUAAUGCUACAAGUCGCAUUGCAAAAACAUUCCAGUUUCAUCAGUUUGUAGCUAAAUGAUUCUGAAGUGUCUGGUUUCUUAUAUGGUAUGUAAAUGUGCAAAUUGCACAUAGCAGUUUAUACAAGUAAGAACUUGACUAACA